GUCUCUAUGGCUCAGUCGGUAGAGCGUUGGUCUCAUAUAAUAUCUAUAUGACCCUGCCUGUAGGUCGGGACAUCCAAAGGUCGCAAGUUCGAGCCUUGCUAGGGACA
This 107-nucleotide transfer RNA is filed under the name Colletotrichum navitas. RNAcentral's name for it is "tRNA-Met". It matches the Rfam family "tRNA". From Rfam's summary of the family: Transfer RNA (tRNA) molecules are approximately 80 nucleotides in length. Their secondary structure includes four short double-helical elements and three loops (D, anti-codon, and T loops). The record is from RNAcentral. Lineage: Eukaryota; Fungi; Ascomycota; Sordariomycetes; Glomerellales; Glomerellaceae.